Molecule: ribosomal RNA, 339 nt
Filed under: uncultured bacterium
Lineage: Bacteria
Description: bacterial SSU rRNA
Rfam family: Bacterial small subunit ribosomal RNA
Source: RNAcentral
GCUCAGGACGAACGCUGGCGGCGCGCCUAACACAUGCAAGUCGAACGAGAGAGAGGGAGCUUGCUUCCUCAAUCGAGUGGCGAACGGGUGAGUAACGCGUGAGGAACCUGCCUCAAAGAGGGGGACAACAGUUGGAAACGACUGCUAAUACCGCAUAAGCCCACGACCCGGCAUCGGGUAGAGGGAAAAGGAGCAAUCCGCUUUGAGAUGGCCUCGCGUCCGAUUAGCUAGUUGGUGAGGUAACGGCCCACCAAGGCGACGAUCGGUAGCCGGACUGAGAGGUUGAACGGCCACAUUGGGACUGAGACACGGCCCAGACUCCUACGGGAGGCAGCAGUA